RNAcentral lists this long non-coding RNA (4771 nucleotides) under Volvox carteri. RNAcentral's name for it is "long non-coding RNA (VCAR_LNC001699)". Lineage: Eukaryota; Viridiplantae; Chlorophyta; Chlorophyceae; Chlamydomonadales; Volvocaceae. The record is from RNAcentral.
CCACAAUCACAACUUGCAGACUCAACAUCAUAACAAUGACCGAACCGGGUUAACCCGGUCGGUCUAUUUACCUUCAAUAACUUUUCUGAGAACAGAGACAUCAAAAUGGCUCGCAACAGUUCAACGGAUCAGGCCGCCGGUGUGACGGCGGAACGAUCUGAAGCAACCAUAUCAAUUUCCCUUCUUAGGGAAAUUACGAAGAUGGAGCAACCUUUUGGCAAACUUCGAUCGCUGGCAAUGAGAGCAAUCUUUCAAGGAAACUACCUAGAGAACAGAAAGCAGGUAAUAGACAUUAUGGCAGGACCGAUUGGACACCGAAUAGUGCAGACAGUACAACAGGAGCUAAAAGCUCCUUAUGUUUUCGUCGGAGAACCGGUCGCUUGGGAAGCUCGCAACGACGAAGGAGUCGUUGGACAGAUCAACGUCUACGUACCGGAGGAGUGGAUUACGCCCGUAAAAAACUUAGCGGACCAUUGCGGACGAAUCAAUCUAGCAGAUCUCCAUCUAGGAGAUUACCACAUUCAAGAUCUUGUAGUAGACAUAGUGGGGGCAUCUGCCCAAUACUUCAGACUGACAGGAUUACCUCCAGCAUUUCCUCAGAAAUGCCUAUUCUGGCUUAUUGCGGAAGCCUACGGCUUUGACGUAGAUGAAUAUGGAAAGAAAUGGGGGAUAGUCGAAGCUAGUCUCACUACAGCCGUGGUGUGGGUGCGAUGGGAUCAGCCCGCAUUACCCGCCAGGAUGAAUNNNNNNNNNNNNNNNNNNNNNNNNNNNNNNNNNNNNNNNNNNNNNNNNNNNNNNNNNNNNNNNNNNNNNNNNNNNNNNNNNNNNNNNNNNNNNNNNGUCCAUUGCACGCCGCCAAUCAUCUGCAUGUGGACUUGCAAUUGCUUCCGCAAACGAAUUCGGUUCAGGAAUGACAGCAGAAAAAGCAGAAUUAACACGACCAGUAACAGUGCGACCAGGCUCGUUUCGCCACCACUCGCCAGGGCGUUUACGCUCUCUAACUGGGUACCGGGUCCCUGCCAUUUCCACAUCAGGCUGAUUGUUACCUUGCACGUUCGCACUGCUGGAAGGUCCAGCCCCAGCCGGCGCCCCCUCGCCGUGGCGAAUGUGGCGAUCCGUCGCCGACGGUAUUGCCUGAUGUUCCUUCGCCAGCCCUAGGCAGCGACCCCUCACCAGGCAAGUUAGUGUGAACGUCCUCCUCCUCAUCGGCAUCGGACCCAUAAUCGGAGUCCCUAGCACUACGCCGCCGGCCGACAUUAGACUCGUCAAAGCGGACACUGGAGACCACAGCGAUGACGCCGUCCUCGUACAGUACGCGGUACUGUCCUCCAUUCCCGUAUCGGACUAGGAUUCCUCGCCUGCUUACCGGAUCGAGUUUGUCUCGCUUGACGUUGGGCACAUGAACAUAUGCAGCGCAUCAAAAGACCCGCAGAUGGCUGACAUUCGGACGAACACCAAAGAAGGCUUGAUGUGGAGUGACGGUUGACCCAGCAGUUGGCGACACGUUCCUGAGGUAGUUUGCAGUCGCCAACGCUUCCGCCCACAGUGAUUUUGGGAGUCCAGACUCUAUGAGCAUUGACCUGGCCUUGUCUAGAAGAGUGCGGUUCAGGCGUUCUGCUGCACCGUUCUGCUCAGGAGUGUAGCCCGCCGUAGUUCCGUGCAAAAAUACCCCUUGACGCGAAGUAGUUUUUCGUGCGAGUAUUCACAAACUCCCCGCCACGAUCCGUGCGCACCUCCUUUACCUGCCGACCAGAUGCCCGUUCCAGGUCCGCUAUCAUCACCACCACCUAACCUUCUGAUAUAUCUCUUCCUUGGACGCCGUAAACGCAACAGCUGACAGACCGGUGUGGCCAUCAAGAAGGGUGGUCACGUAACGCGAACCAUUUGGUGAAGGUUCAGGCAUAGGCCCACACACAUCCAUGUGAAUGAGCGCGAGAGGUAAUUACAUCCAUGUGAAUGAGCGUGAGAGGCUGCGCUGCCUUAUGCCCAGAUAACGGAAAAGGACCACGUGUAUGCCUUGCAAGGACGCAAGUCUCACACACACACGCGCUGGCUGAUUGUAUGCUGUGUCGGUCAACAUCAAAUCCAGCUACCAUAUUAUGACGCAGCAACGUCUCAAGGUUGCUGUAUCCCAAGUGGCCAUACCUUCGGUGCCAAAGUGCUGCACGUUCAGCUCCGAUACCCACGGCAGCACACACUGCAUCACCCUACUACACUCAUAUAGCAAUAUAGCAAUAUAGCAAUAUAGCAACCAUAUAGCCACAAUCACAACUUGCAGACUCAACAUCAUAACAAUGACCGAACCGGGUUAACCCGGUCGGUCUAUUUACCUUCAAUAACUUUUCUGAGAACAAAGACAUCAAAAUGGCUCGCAACAGUUCAACGGAUCAGGCCGCCGGUGUGACGGCGGAACGAUCUGAAGCAACCAUAUCAAUCUCCCUUCUUAGGGAAAUUACGAAGAUGGAGCAACCUUUUGGCAAACUUCGAUCGCUGGCAAUGAGAGCAAUCUUUCAAGGAAACUACCUAGAGAACAGAAAGCAGGUAAUAGACAUUAUGGCAGGACCGAUUGGACACCGAAUAGUGCAGACAGUACAACAGGAGCUAAAAGCUCCUUAUGUUUUCGUCGGAGAACCGGUCGCUUGGGAAGCUCGCAACGACGAAGGAGUCGUUGGACAGAUCAACGUCUACGUACCGGAGGAGUGGAUUACGCCCGUAAAAAACUUAGCGGACCAUUGCGGACGAAUCAAUCUAGCAGAUCUCCAUCUAGGAUCUUGUAGUAGACAUAGUGGGGGCAUCUGCCCAAUACUUCAGACUGACAGGAUUACCUCCAGCAUUUCCUCAGAAAUGCCUAUUCUGGCUUAUUGCGGAAGCCUACGGCUUUGACGUAGAUGAAUAUGGAAAGAAAUGGGGGAUAGUCGAAGCUAGUCUCACUACAGCCGUGGUGUGGGUGCGAUGGGAUCAGCCCGCAUUACCCGCCAGGAUGAAUAUUUUCUCCAUUGAGGAGGAUGGCCGGCGGAUUCAUAGGGGAGCGUGGAGAGCGCAACACACGUAUUACGACACACAGACUCCGGCUUUGCCCGCCCCCCCAAGAUUCAACAACGAAACCGCUUGAUACCGAAUCUCCCGCCGCCCAUUUCGGCGGCGGCAGUCAUCGCGGCGCGAGCACGGCCAAAUCUAGCGACGCCAGCGGUGGGUGAGGUAGGAGGAUCAAGUAAUGCACGUCAACCCAUGGCUACUGGACAGCCCCAGACAAUCCAGCAAAUAACUCGACAACAGCAGAUGCAAAAUCGAGUAUCCAACGAGGAGGCAACAGAAAUGGCAGGCAGAGCAGCCGCCGCCGUUGUACGAAGACAAGUACAACAACAGCAGCAACAGCAACAACAGCAACAGCAACAACAGACACAGCAACAGCAAACACAGCAGCAACAACAGCAACAGCAACAACAACGACAGAACCAGCAACCACAACAGCAACAGCAACAGAUACAGCAACAGCCGCCACAGCAGCAGCAGCGACAACAGCAGCAGCUCUCAUACACAACCACCAAUCAACCGGGACUACCGACAUCAGCUUCUAUCCCCAAAACUCACUCCAUCACGCACCCCUUACUUGGCCAACCGAUUCAAGAUGUGGCCGGAAAUAGGCCAGAUGAACAGCAAUGGCAAUUACAAAACAGACGGACGCAUCGUGGAAACCCAAUUCUGCCCACCGACCAACCUGUGCUGGGCAAGCAUGCGGACAAACCAACGUCACGCACGUCAUCUCCAGGGGUCAGUCCCCAACACAAGAGGAGGGACUCGGUAAUAAGCCCGCCCAGGUUUCAUGUUCUUCCACAUGACGACCCGGGUGACCUCAUGCAAGUCGGCGAGGAGGAGGAAGUGAGAAAUAUAGUAGUAGUCCGCGGUAAUGGGGAUACGGAAAUACCCCCUAGGUAAAUGGGGCGACGGACAAGAUGCAGGAGGCCUAAUAAUAGACCCCUUCGCAUAGCGUCCCAUAAUGUAGCAGGUUUAUUCACGCAUUCGGCAUUUACUCGUAUCCAUGCUGCGGCUAGAGUAUGGGCCCAACAUAGGUUAGAUGUCAUUUGUUUACAGGAGACACAUCAUUUGGGAGAUGGAGACCUGACAAUUCUCACUAGAGAAUUGCAAUUCGCGGCUCAGAAAAUAGGGAUACCGGGUGGGAUAUAAUAGCACAAUCCCCCACGACCAAUGCCCGGACGGCUGGAGUGUUAGUGCUAGUGCGCAAAGAUCUUUAUCGCGACUUUAAAAUAAUACAAACACCGGCACGACUACUUCCGGCUAACAUUCCCCAAGGCCGUAGCGCGUCGGUUUCGUUCACGUGGUGUGGUCACCGUAUUCAUUUGAUUAAUUUGUACCUCAUGACAUCUAGUUACUCGAUAGAUCAGAGGAAGGCGUGUGUGCAUUCUCUUGGCGAUGUGGUAAAUAGGAUAGGACAGGAUGAUCAUUUGCUUUGGGCUGGAGAUUUUAAUUUUGUCCAUAAUCCGAUGCUAGAUUCCACCACAGGAGAAGGGAGUAGACCCGCGGACUUAUCCUUAGCCAAGGCUUUCUCCGAAUGCUGCCCGGAUAUGGUAGACACAUAUCGCUACCUCCACCCUACCCGUCGCGACCUUUCGUUUUUCUAUAAAACAAGUGUGUCGGGAGGGUCACGUCUUGAUCGAAUCUAUACUUCCACAAACCUCACCCCCUUCAUCGCUUCCUCUACCAUUCCAGUGUGCACUUCGACAGACCAUCGUUUAGCUAUUAUUGCUCUUNN